Molecule: non-coding RNA, 420 nt
Organism: Chroicocephalus ridibundus (black-headed gull)
Lineage: Eukaryota; Metazoa; Chordata; Aves; Charadriiformes; Laridae
Source: the annotation of a RefSeq genome assembly
GGGGGUUUUCUGACUCUGUCUCACUCCACAAAGAGGCGGGUUGAUGUCGACAUGCACCUCGGAUCUCUCAUCCUCACGGCCUUCCUGGGGCAACUGCUGGGCGCCAUGGGACAGACCACUGUCACCCAGCAAGAAGCACAAGUCACAGUGAAGCAGGGAGACAUCUUUGAAACCACCUGCACCUACAGAACACCCAGCUUUGAUGCCUUGCUCUGGUACAAACAGAGAAAAGGACAAGCCCCACAGCGUAUCUCCUAUCAGGCAGCAGCUGGCCACAAGCGCAGCGGCCGUCUCACCACCGUGCUGAACACCACCGAGAAAUACAGCCUCCUGCAGCUGGAGGAAGUCGAGCUCUCUGACAGUGCCUUGUACCUCUGUGCAGCCGUGCUCCCUCUUUCAGGGGACAAGUGGGAAGAUUAG